AUGGAUUGGAACCCGCAAAUGCUUUCUUGGAACGUGAGGGGGCUUAACAACCCAGCUAAAAAGAAUGCUGUUAGGGAAUUCAUUAUAGCGGCUAAGGUUAACUUGGUGUGUCUCCUUGAGACUAAACUUGAUGUAAUUAAUGCAUAUGUGGUGAUGCAAUGCAUUGGGCCAUCUUUUGAUGGUUUCGCUUACUUGCCAGCGAUUAAUACGAGGGGUGGAAUUCUUCUGGCCUGUGAUAGCUCUUACAUGUCGAUUGAUAACUUGGCUCGGGAUACAAACUUCCUCAUGGGUCAUGUGCGCGAUAAGGAUGGUUGGGACUAG
Molecule: ribosomal RNA, 321 nt
Filed under: Triticum aestivum (bread wheat)
Lineage: Eukaryota; Viridiplantae; Streptophyta; Magnoliopsida; Poales; Poaceae
Description: partial small subunit ribosomal RNA
Source: RNAcentral